CCUACGGGUGGCAGCAGUGAGGAAUCUUGGUCAAUGGGCGCGAGCCUGAACCAGCCAAGUCGCGUGAGGGAAGACGGUCCUAUGGAUUGUAAACCUCUUUUGUCGGGGAGCAAAAGACGCCACGCGUGGCGUUCCGAGUGUACCCGAAGAAAAAGCAUCGGCUAACACCGGUCCAGCAGCCGCGGUAAUACGGAGGAUGCGAGCGUUAUCCGGAUCUAUUGGGUUUAAGGGGUGCGCAGGGGGAAGAUCGAGUCAGCGGUAAAAUUGAGGGGCUCAACCUCUUCGAGCCGUUGAAACUGGUUUUCUUGAGUGAGCAAGAGGUAUGCGGAAUGCGUGGUGUAGCGGUGAAAUGCAUAGAUAUCACGCAGAACUCCGAUUGCGAAGGCAGCAUACCGGCGCUCAACUGACGCUCAUGCACGAAAGUGUGGGUAUCGAACAGGAUUAGAUACCCCAGUAGUC
RNAcentral lists this ribosomal RNA (459 nucleotides) under uncultured bacterium. RNAcentral's name for it is "partial 16S ribosomal RNA". It matches the Rfam family "Bacterial small subunit ribosomal RNA", at positions 338 to 795 of the family's 1533-position model. The record is from RNAcentral.